Molecule: transfer RNA, 75 nt
Filed under: Candidatus Woesearchaeota archaeon
Lineage: Archaea; Nanobdellati; Candidatus Woesearchaeota
Description: tRNA-Asp
Rfam family: tRNA
About the family: Transfer RNA (tRNA) molecules are approximately 80 nucleotides in length. Their secondary structure includes four short double-helical elements and three loops (D, anti-codon, and T loops).
Source: RNAcentral
GCCCUGGUAGUGUAGUCCGGCCUAUCAUGCAGCCCUGUCACGGCUGCGACCCGGGUUCAAAUCCCGGCCAGGGCG